Molecule: ribosomal RNA, 481 nt
Filed under: Paruroctonus becki
Lineage: Eukaryota; Metazoa; Arthropoda; Arachnida; Scorpiones; Vaejovidae
Description: partial 16S ribosomal RNA
Rfam family: Bacterial large subunit ribosomal RNA
Source: RNAcentral
GGUUUUUAGAUUUUAUUAAAAAUCAAGCCUGCUCAAUGCUAAGUAAAUAGCCGCAGAAUUUUAACUGUGCAAAGGUAGCAUAAUCACUUGUCUUUUAAUUGAGGACUAGAAUGAAAGGUUUAACUAUGUAAUUUUGUCUUAUAGUAAUAUUUUGAACUUAAUUUUUUAGUAAAAAAGCUAAAAUUCAUCUUAAAGACGAGAAGACCCUAUUAAGCUUUACAAUUCAAUAUUAUUUUCAAACUAAUUAAAAAAUUGUUAUGCUGGGGCAGCAAAUAAAAAAAUAUUGUUUACAUAUUGUGAUAAAUAAAUCUAGAAAAAUCAAUAACUUGUUAAAAAAUAAUAAGUUACUAUAGGGAUAACAGCAUAAUUUUUUUAAAGAGUUCUCAUCAACAAAAAAGUUUGUGACCUCGAUGUUGGAUUAAGAAUCCUAUUUUACGCAGUAGUAAAAAAAGGGAGUCUGUUCGACUUUUAAAUUCUUCCA